This 425-nucleotide ribosomal RNA is filed under the name uncultured bacterium. RNAcentral's name for it is "bacterial SSU rRNA". It matches the Rfam family "Bacterial small subunit ribosomal RNA", at positions 354 to 796 of the family's 1533-position model. The record is from RNAcentral.
GUGGGGAAUUUUGGACAAUGGGCGAAAGCCUGAUCCAGCCAUGCCGCGUGAGUGAUGAAGGCCCUAGGGUUGUAAAGCUCUUUUACCCGGGAUGAUAAUGACAGUACCGGGAGAAUAAGCUCCGGCUAACUUCGUGCCAGCAGCCGCGGUAAUACGAGGGGAGCUAGCGUUGUUCGGAAUUACUGGGCGUAAAGCGCGCGUAGGCGGUUUUUUAAGUCAGAGGUGAAAGCCCGGGGCUCAACCCCGGAAUUGCCUUUGAAACUGGAAAACUAGAAUCUUGGAGAGGUCAGUGGAAUUCCGAGUGUAGAGGUGAAAUUCGUAGAUAUUCGGAAGAACACCAGUGGCGAAGGCGACUGACUGGACAAGUAUUGACGCUGAGGUGCGAAAGCGUGGGGAGCAAACAGGAUUAGAAACCCGAGUAGUCC